UGACUGAGUGGCGGACGGGUGAGUAACGCGUGGGUAACCUGCCCUGUACAGGGGGACAACAGUUAGAAAUGACUGCUAAUACCGCAUAAGCGCACAGGACCGCAUGGUCCGGUGUGAAAAACUCCGGUGGUACAGGAUGGACCCGCGUCUGAUUAGGUAGUUGGCGGGGUAACGGCCCACCAAGCCGACGAUCAGUAGCCGACCUGAGAGGGUGGACCGGCCACAUUGGGACUGAGACACGGCCCAAACUCCUACGGGAGGCAGCAG
This 267-nucleotide ribosomal RNA is filed under the name uncultured bacterium. Its description in RNAcentral is "partial 16S ribosomal RNA". It matches the Rfam family "Bacterial small subunit ribosomal RNA", at positions 88 to 354 of the family's 1533-position model. The record is from RNAcentral.